GACGAACGCUGGCGGCGUGCCUAAUACAUGCAAGUCGAGCGGACAGAUGGGAGCUUGCUCCCUGAUGUUAGCGGCGGACGGGUGAGUAACACGUGGGUAACCUGCCUGUAAGACUGGGAUAACUCCGGGAAACCGGGGCUAAUACCGGAUGCUUGUUUGAACCGCAUGGUUCAAACAUAAAAGGUGGCUUCGGCUACCACUUACAGAUGGACCCGCGGCGCAUUAGCUAGUUGGUGAGGUAACGGCUCACCAAGGCRACGAUGCGUAGCCGACCUGAGAGGGUGAUCGGCCACACUGGGACUGAGACACGGCCCAGACUCCUACGGGAGGCAGCAGUAGGGAAUCUUCCGCAAUGGACGAAAGUCUGACGGAGCAACGCCGCGUGAGUGAUGAAGGUUUUCGGAUCGUAAAGCUCUGUUGUUAGGGAAGAACAAGUGCCGUUCGAAUAGGGCGGCACCUGA
This 461-nucleotide ribosomal RNA is filed under the name Bacillus sp. R-42363. Its description in RNAcentral is "bacterial SSU rRNA". It matches the Rfam family "Bacterial small subunit ribosomal RNA", at positions 28 to 482 of the family's 1533-position model. Lineage: Bacteria; Bacillati; Bacillota; Bacilli; Caryophanales; Bacillaceae. The record is from RNAcentral.